Molecule: ribosomal RNA, 253 nt
Filed under: uncultured Longilinea sp.
Lineage: Bacteria; Bacillati; Chloroflexota; Anaerolineae; Anaerolineales; Anaerolineaceae
Description: partial 16S ribosomal RNA
Rfam family: Bacterial small subunit ribosomal RNA
Source: RNAcentral
GACGUAGGAGGCGAGCGUUAUCCGGAUUUACUGGGCGUAAAGCGCGUGCAGGCGGUUUGGAAAGUUGGAUGUGAAAGCUCCCGGCUCAACUGGGAGAGGUCGUUCAAAACUACCGGACUAGAGUACAGUAGAGGGAAGUGGAAUUCCGGGUGUAGUGGUGAAAUGCGUAGAUAUCCGGAGGAACACCAGUGGCGAAAGCGGCUUCCAGGACUGUAACUGACGCUCAGACGCGAAAGCUAGGGUAGCAAACGGG